GAUGAGCGCUGGCGGCGUGCCUAAUACAUGCCAGUCGAGCGAACGGACGAGAAGCUUGCUUCUCUGAUGUUGGCGGCGGACGGGUGAGUAACACGUGGAUAACCUACCUAUAAGACUGGGAUAACUUCGGGAAACCGGAGCUAAUACCGGAUAAUAUUUUGAACCGCAUGGUUCAAAAGUGAAAGACGGUCUUGCUGUCACUUAUAGAUGGAUCCGCGCUGCAUUAGCUAGUUGGUAAGGUAACGGCUUACCAAGGCAACGAUGCAUAGCCGACCUGAGAGGGUGAUCGGCCACACUGGAACUGAGACACGGUCCAGACUCCUACGGGAGGCAGCAGUAGGGAAUCUUCCGCAAUGGGCGAAAGCCUGACGGAGCAACGCCGCGUGAGUGAUGAAGGUCUUCGGAUCGUAAAACUCUGUUAUUAGGGAAGAACAUAUGUGUAAGUAACUGUGCACAUCUUGACGGUACCUAAUCAGAAAGCCACGGCUAACUACGUG
RNAcentral lists this ribosomal RNA (497 nucleotides) under uncultured bacterium. Its description in RNAcentral is "partial 16S ribosomal RNA". It matches the Rfam family "Bacterial small subunit ribosomal RNA", at positions 28 to 507 of the family's 1533-position model. The record is from RNAcentral.